GGAAAGUUGCAAAGUACUUUGAAGAGAGAGUUCAAGAGGACGUGAAACCGAUAGGAUGGAAGCAGAUGAAGUUGACGAACGUGUGUCGUAUUCAAAAUCGCUGUCAGCGGUUUGUUUUUACGGCCGAUGUGGGCCGGCGGCUUUGGUCAAUGCAAUGCGUCUAGCGUCGAUGGUGACCCUGCGGAGGGACAAUCAGUCGGCGUACGGUGCUUGGUAUGGCUAAGGUUUCGCCGGUCUUAAAGUCAGCGCCUCAUCUGACCCGUCUUGAAACACGGACCAAGGAGUGUAGCGUUUGCGCAAGUCUUAGAGUGUAUCGAAACUUUGAGGCGUAACGAAAGUAAAUGCAGUUUAAUCUGCUGACUUGGGAUGCGUUGUCUCUUGUGGACGGCGCUGGACCAAGGUUUUAUCGCGAUCGCUUGCGGUGCGGUGAAAAUAGAGCGUAAACGGUGCGACCCGAAA
This 459-nucleotide ribosomal RNA is filed under the name Steinernema sp. HBa101. RNAcentral's name for it is "partial 28S ribosomal RNA". It matches the Rfam family "Eukaryotic large subunit ribosomal RNA", at positions 358 to 821 of the family's 3401-position model. The record is from RNAcentral. Lineage: Eukaryota; Metazoa; Nematoda; Chromadorea; Rhabditida; Steinernematidae.